RNAcentral lists this long non-coding RNA (2086 nucleotides) under Nicotiana tabacum (common tobacco). RNAcentral describes it as "long non-coding RNA (NTAB_LNC008845)". The record is from RNAcentral. Lineage: Eukaryota; Viridiplantae; Streptophyta; Magnoliopsida; Solanales; Solanaceae.
AGAUAAUUAUUAUAAAUCUCUAAAGAGAAUUAUUCAUAAACAAAUAAUGAUCCAAAAUAUCAAAAUUAUAAUACCAUUAAAUCAAAAUAUACAAUAUUGUUCUCCGAUUCAAGAUUUAGCACAUAACUUUGUAUAAUAUAUAUGAAAAUAAAAGAUUCCUAAAACAUUUGAAAUUUCAGCAACAAUCAACCAAUACUCUUAUGUAAAGUCUUCGCUGGUUUCAUCUACCCUUUAUUCAUUUACUCCAUCUACAAAAGAUGAUAAAUAAAAAAUUUUAACAUUCAAGUCCUAGUUGGAAAUACCAUCAUCAGUUACCUAGCAAAUUUGAAGCUCAUGAAAGGUGAUACGAAGUGCAGAUUUGGUUGCUUUUCAAGAGAAGACCCAAAGCUAAAGUUGACAUUAACAACUAAUUGUUAGUUUAGACAUUAAAAGUAACUCAACCAUGCUUGUGAGAAAUACCAUAAGAAAAUAAACUAAACUUGAGAAAUACUAUAAUGAACAACACGCAGGUGAAAUCCCUCAAACAGCUUGCUAGAAUCAAAUUCAUAAGUUAGGAUUAUAAUUUGUCAAAGUAAGUUUAUUUUUAAAUAUUUCAAAUCUAGCUAUUUAAGCAACUAUGCAAUAGAAUAUUCGACGAAGAUGCUAACUACAAUAAGUGAAACAAACUUGAUUGUUAUCUAAAAAAUAUUUAUAGUUAUAGCUAUUCAAAUUGACAGAAAUUUCAAGUUUGAGAUAUGCAUAGAAGAUCUACAUAACAAAAGAGACCCAUACAACAUCAAGCCACUAAAAAGCCAAGCCUAAGUAAUAAGAAGAGCUAAAUGAUAUAAAACAUAAAUAGAACAAGGUAAUACAUAAGCAACAAACAUAAAACACCAAACUGAUGAGACAACUUACGAUAUAUCAAGGAUUAGCCAGCAUGAGAAAUGAACUUCGAUAAUAAGAGAUUAUUGUGCCUGAACAUGAAAAGUCAAUGAGUUGGUGAGGCUAGAUUACAAGGGGUUUAACGAAAGUCAAAUGCUACUUCAACCUGUUUCAAUGCUAACACCAGAGGGGUUUGAUGGAUGAUAAAGUGCUUUGGAGUUUUUUUAGCUCUAUCUUAACAUUCCUAGCUAGACUGAUCUCAUAUACAGCUAUUAAAGAAACUUUUGCCAAAAUUCUUUCAAUGAUAUUUAACAAGAAAGAUUCUGCCAUGAAUGAUAAGAUCAAGACUUGCCUUCUCGGAGUCAACAUCCCUUUGGAAAGUGGUGCAAGUAUUGAUAAAGGAUCGUGGCACCAAAAGCUAGUAAAGCCAACAUUUUGGACCUACUAUUGUAUUUUUGCAACUACACACUUCCCUGAAAUAAGAAAGCUUGAACGUGAUAUAAGAAUAAUAAAAAACAAUUCUUGAUUGAUCAAUCUAAUGAUAGGAGACUAUCUAGUAGCUCAAUAUAUAAAAUGAAAUGGAUGAAUAAUAUCUAUAGAAACUUUAUCAACCAAAUAUGGAAAAAAAAUGCGCAUCUUCUUUUUUCUUUUACAAAUCAAGUAUCAUAAAAAAGAACCUUCUUUUAAUUGCUACAACCAUUGAGCGUAGGUUUAAUAGAAUCAUUAUAAUCUGUUACUCCUUUUAUCAAAACAGCAUACUGAUCCUUUGAGUGUCAUCUACUACAAGGAUAAAAGGGAACAAAUCAAUGUAGUAAAUCUCAGCUAAUUGGUUAUCUAAAAUAUCAAAAGAAAAUACUUAAAUAAAUACACACAAACACUAGUGACAGAUCCAACAAUAGGGUCGUGGGUUCAGAAGAACCCGUGCUUCAACGUAUAUGAACAAAGAGCCCUUGGUAAGAAAACUACAUAUAUGAACAAACUAAUGAUUUAUCUAUGAACCCUUAACGAUAUCUAAACAGGAUUCUAGUAAAUUAUUGAAAAACUAAUAAUUUAAAGCUAGAGCUAUAUAUUUCUCAACCCCCAAGCACAAUGAUAGCCCAAUAAUUAAAGUUGAGCCUCUUAUAAAUAGGGAUAGCAAAUGGUGAACACUUAAUAUUUCUACAUGGUGGGCUAUGCUUGAUCCCAAGACCAAGAAGCUAUUAUUUGAUUUGCUUAUAAAUAUUAU